This 416-nucleotide ribosomal RNA is filed under the name uncultured bacterium. Its description in RNAcentral is "bacterial SSU rRNA". It matches the Rfam family "Bacterial small subunit ribosomal RNA", at positions 30 to 453 of the family's 1533-position model. The record is from RNAcentral.
AUUGAACGCUGGCGGCAUGCCUUACACAUGCAAGUCGAACGGCAGCGCGGGGCAACCUGGCGGCGAGUGGCGAACGGGUGAGUAAUAUAUCGGAACGUGCCCUGGAGUGGGGGAUAACGUAGCGAAAGUUACGCUAAUACCGCAUACGAUCCAAGGAUGAAAGCAGGGGACCUUCGGGCCUUGUGCUCCUGGAGCGGCCGAUAUCUGAUUAGCUAGUUGGUGGGGUAAAAGCCUACCAAGGCGACGAUCAGUAGCUGGUCUGAGAGGACGACCAGCCACACUGGAACUGAGACACGGUCCAGACUCCUAUGGGAGGCAGCAGUGGGGAAUUUUGGACAAUGGGGGGCAACCCUGAUCCAGCAAUGCCGCGUGUGUGAAGAAGGCCUGGUGUAAGCACUUGUCUAGGAACGAAACGG